GGACAUCUAGGUUCCGUAGUCUUCCUAGGCAUGGUGAUUCUGACAUACACCAACCUCCAUGUUUGUUUCCUUAACUAUCCUAUUUAUUGGGUUCUCUGGUUUCUCCUUAAAUCAAUGCUAUAUUUUUCCUCCCUUGAAGCCGAUGCUCCUGUAUGGGUCUCCCAAGCCAUAGCUUCGUCUCUGCCUCAACUGGGUUUGUUGAUGAGGUUCUGGAUUUGUUGAAAUGCUUUAGUUUCUGUGGUCUACCUCCUUCUUGGUGAUCUUGCUACGCCCGAGGUGCCCAAAUGUUGGCUGGGUGAGUGCAUCCUUAGCUAAUCAGCUCUUAUCCCUUUCUAUUAACGAAUUUUUUUCUUUAAAAAAAAUUGUAAUGCACAGCAUGUAAACAAAAAUCUUCCGGAAUGUGCAGUUAUUUUAUGUACUUAGAGAGGAAAUUCAGAUGAUGAUUCAUGCAUCUAAAAAUACAAAGGAUCAAGAGCCUCAUUUGUACUCAUAGUUGUUACCCUUUAUAGAUGCAUAUCAUUUUCGAAAAUUUCAAAUUUCACACUAGGAAAAGGUAAGAAAAGAAAUCUUUCACACUAGAAAAAGGAAGUCAUAAACAGAAACUGCAUGAAUAUUUACAAAAAACCUUACACGCACUAAGAUAUACAUAUAUAAGGCUAUGAUUCUCAAAUUCAUCACAUGUAAGAAAUUUCUGAAUACAGAUGGGGUAAAUUUAGAAAG
Molecule: long non-coding RNA, 720 nt
Filed under: Manihot esculenta (cassava)
Lineage: Eukaryota; Viridiplantae; Streptophyta; Magnoliopsida; Malpighiales; Euphorbiaceae
Description: long non-coding RNA (MESC_LNC002471)
Source: RNAcentral